Molecule: ribosomal RNA, 432 nt
Filed under: Metagonia sp. Br16-216
Lineage: Eukaryota; Metazoa; Arthropoda; Arachnida; Araneae; Pholcidae
Description: partial 16S ribosomal RNA
Source: RNAcentral
UUCUUAAAGAAUAUAAUUUUAAGUAAAACCUGCUCAAUGUUAACAUUUAUUAAUAGCCGCGGUUCUACUGUGCUAAGGUAGCAUAAUAAUUAGCUUCUUAAUUAGAAGAUAGAAUGAAAGGUUAAACGAUAUAAAACUGUCUCUAAAUAAAAAAUAAAUUUAAUCUUCCUGUAAAAAAGCAGAAAUAAAUAAACAAGACGACAAGACCCUAAUAAACUUAUCCAUUUAGUUGGGGCAACAAAAUAAAAACACUUUACUUUAAUAUUUUUAACUAAACUCUUAUAAAUAAAAAAGAUUAGUUACUAUAGGGAUAACAGCGCAAUAUUUCUUUAGAGUCCUUAUCUUAAGAAAAGCUUACGACCUCGAUGUUGAAUUAAUUAUCUACUAAACGCAAAAGCUUAGUAAGUUAGUCUGUUCGACUAUUAAUAAAUU